This 460-nucleotide ribosomal RNA is filed under the name uncultured bacterium. RNAcentral describes it as "partial 16S ribosomal RNA". It matches the Rfam family "Bacterial small subunit ribosomal RNA", at positions 339 to 795 of the family's 1533-position model. The record is from RNAcentral.
CUACGGGAGGCAGCAGUGAGGAAUAUUGGGCAAUGGGCGCAAGCCUGACCCAGCCAUGCCGCGUGAAGGAUGAAUGCCCUACGGGUUGUAAACUUCUUUUGUACGGGACGAAACUUCCGAUCGUGAUCGGAACUGACUGUACCGUUCGAAUAAGCAUCGGCUAACUCCGUGCCAGCAGGCCGCGGUAAUACGGAGGAUGCAAGCGUUAUCCGGAUUCAUUGGGUUUAAAGGGUGCGUAGGCGGAAUAGUAAGUCAGUGGUGAAAGCCUGCGGCUUAACCGUAGAAUUGCCAUUGAUACUGUUAUUCUGGAGUAUAGUUGAGGUGGGCGGAAUGUGUAAUGUAGCGGUGAAAUGCUUAGAUAUUACACAGAACACCAAUUGCGAAGGCAGCUCACUAAACUAUCACUGACGCUGAGGCACGAAAGCGUGGGGAGCAAACAGGAUUAGAUACCCUAGUAGUC